Long non-coding RNA from Arachis duranensis, 616 nucleotides. RefSeq lists it as uncharacterized. Lineage: Eukaryota; Viridiplantae; Streptophyta; Magnoliopsida; Fabales; Fabaceae. The record is from RefSeq and is a predicted model, not a curated record. The transcript is spliced from 4 exons.
GUAUAGAAGAUAAUGAGAUGCAUUGAAAUAUGAAAAGUUCUGGUGUGCAAAGGAUUCAAAUGAACACUUCCAAUGGAACUACUGUCAAGAAGAGGUCAAUAACAAAAAAAAGAGGAUGUGUUGCUGAACAUUAUAGCAAGAGGUUAACGGAGUAUGAUAUGAAGGCUGAUCGAUUUUAUAUUCGCUGUGAGUUUGCUAGAUUAUUGCUUAAGAGUGGUGGAUCGGAACAAUAAAAAUUUACUGUUAAGGGCUCAAAGAUUACUAAACCCUUUACAAUGCAUGUCUUGAAAAGUAAGGGCAAGAAUCGAGAGUACAAAAUUGGACCCAAAUGAAAAGAUUUUGUCAAGAUGCAUAAACUUAGGCCUGGAUAUUUAUGUGUAUUUAGAAGUGUUUCGAACAAAAAUCAUUUGGUUCAGGUUUCUGUGGUUAGAAACUAAUUAUUCAGAUGCUUUGAUACUUUCUUUUGUUAAUUUUGGGAUAUGUAUUCUAUUUUGGACUCUGGGUUUUUCAUUAUCUAAAAUUCAAAAUAUGUAUGGGAUGUGAACUUGUUGGUUAAGUUACUUAGUUUUUUAUAUCAGAUGUGACAGUCAAAUUAAUAUGCUAUUUGGUUAUAUCA